Molecule: long non-coding RNA, 36507 nt
Filed under: Capsicum annuum
Lineage: Eukaryota; Viridiplantae; Streptophyta; Magnoliopsida; Solanales; Solanaceae
Description: long non-coding RNA (CANN_LNC010775)
Source: RNAcentral
UCCCCUCUUUCCCAUUUACUUCAGUACCUAAGGUUAAGUGUUUUGAUCCGUUUGAAUAUCGAAUAGUUUCCACGUUUUAUUUAAAGCCAUCCUUUCUUUUUCAUAUUAUUGUUUGCUAAAAAAUUUUUGAUAGGAUAAAAGUUGUUUGCGUGCUGUAUGCGUGGUGACAUGCCUAAUAAUGUGCUUACUCUACGGGGACAUGUUGUUAUUUCUUCUCUCAAAGAUAGGUCUAGUAAAUUUGGGAGAAAUUCUAUUUUAGUUGCUUCCUGAUUCUUCGCAACUCUUUGUUGUUAUCUUGAGUUUUAGUAAUAGCCAUCUAUACCUAAAAGGGCUAGAGAACAAUAAUCAGCAAAAGAAAAAAAUAUAUAAUAAUAAUAAUGAUUAACUCCUAAGCACAUCAAAUUGGUCUGAUUGCUAUUUUCCAUCACAAUGCAUGUGUGAAGUUGAUUCAUUUCUCUUGAAAUUCUAUAUUUUGAACCAUCAUGGGUUCCUUUUCAUCGAUUGAUCCAUCAUACUACUUACUUGUGUGGCGUUUGGUAUUCUGGAUGCGUUUUGAUUUCCUUUAUAUUUUUCCUUGCAUGUGAAUUCGUUUUGGAGUCCAAAUGGAUUCUUUCCCAUUGCAUCUCUUAAUGGGCCAUUCAGGCCCUCCAUUCCUAUCAAGUCAAGCCCUGAAAAAAAGCCUAAAAUGAAUUGCAUGGCGUACGGAUAUGAGAAGUCGAAAGAAGAGAGAAGAUGGAUUAAAGCCCCAUUUUUAAAGUGGCGAAGAGACUCAAAAGUCUCAUUUUUUAGUUUAUUUAUUUACUUAUCGAUUUUAUUCAUUUAUUUCUUUAUUUAUUCAUUUGGGCCACGAAGCCAAAGUUGUGCUUAAUAUAGGUAGAGCGAUACUAGGACAGGUGAAAUGGGUCGAAAUCCCAAUUAGACUAGGACAGGUCUUAUUGAUUUGGGCCCAGUGGCCUAAAUCCCUUACUUUCUCCCCUUCCCCUUUUUCUUUACAUUUCUUUACCUUAUGUGUUUUGGUGAACCUAGUUAAAUCCUUAGUCAAGUCGAUAAAAAGUUAGUUCUGCAUAAACACCAAAAUCUUUUUCAAAAAUUGCCUUCUUUUCAAAACUAAACCUUUUUCCAAAGUUAGUCAAAGGCGAUUUCCAAACAGUCCGGAUAACCGCAAGUUAGCGGACGUUUUAGGUGCCUAACACCUUCCUAAAACAUUAAUAAGAACCGCUUACUCAGAAUCUCUUAACUUAAACAAUUUUUCUUUUUUGGAUCGUUUGAAGUAACUCUAUAAAGGUUUCUAAAUUCCUUUUCAAAAUUAAGUGGCGACUCUCUUUCAAAAGUCAAAAUUUCCGCAAAACGCGCUUCAGCCAUAAUUCUCUGCCUCAAAUCAUUAACAUUCGGAACACAGUCUACCUUGCAAUCUCAACAUAUCAUCUACCCCUUGGGAGAAAACCUCUACCUUAUGGUCCUUAACUGAAUCCUUCAGUCUGACCAAAUAGGAUCCCUAUCCUGCUUCUUCUUUACCUCCAAGACCAAAGAGGACUCGAAACUGCUCUAAACUAACAUACUCCCUUCUGCGGAAUCAAGAAAUCUAACACCCAACCUAGACAAACGAUGCACAUCACGAGCUAAUUCUUUCUUAUCAUUCUCUAUAUGAGCUAUACUAACCAUAGACAACCUGCUAAGAGCAUCUUCCACAAUAUUGGCCUUGCUAGGGUGAUAUAUCACACUCAUAUCGUAGUCUUUUAGAAAAUCUACCCAUCUUCUUUGUCUAAGGUUUGUCUCCAGAUUUUCAAAGCAAAAACUACAGCUGCUAAUUCAAGAUCAUGGGUUGGGUAAUUCUUCUCAUGAGGCUUCAACUGUCUAAGGCAUAAGCUAUAACUUUACCCUUAUGCAUCAACACACAACCCAAACCAACUCUAGAAGCAUCCCAGUACACCACAAGACCAUCAGUACCAUCGGGUAAAGCUAACACUGGGGCUGAAGUGAGUCGAGUCUUCAACUCUUGAAAUCUCUUCUCACAGGCAUCUGUCCACUGGAACUUAACUUUCUUUUCGGUCAAUCGGGUCAUGGGGGACCCGAUUGAAGAGAAGCCCUCAACAAAAUGACAGUAGUAACCAGCUAAACCCAAGAAACUCCUAAUAUCAGACGGGGAGGUAAGUCUAGGCCAAUUCUUCAUAGCUUCUGUCUUUUGAGGAUCAACUCUUAUACCUUCGGAAGAAACAAUAUGACUCAGAAAAGCAACUGACCUUAACCAAAAUUCACACUUGCUAAAUUUAGUAAAUAAUUAAUGAGCUCUAAGGGUUUCCAACAUGAUUCGAAGAUGAUCUUCAUGGCCAUCCUUACUUAGAGAAUAUAAAAGAAUAUCCUCUAUGAACACAAUAACAAACAAAUACAGAUACCACUUGAAAACUCAGUUCAUAAGAUCCAUGAAAGCUGCUGGAGCAUUGGUUAACCCAAAGGACAUGACAAGAAACUCAAAAUGACCAUAGCGGGUUCGAAAAACUGUCUUUGGAAUAUCACACUCUCUCACUUUAAGAUAAUGAUAGCCGGAUCUAAGGUCUAUCUUUGAGAAAUAACUUGCACCCAGUAGCUGAUCAAAUAAAUCAUUGAUUCUAGGAAGAGGGUACUUGUUCUUAAUAGUCACCUUGUUGAGUUGAUGGUAGUUAAUGCACAUACGCAAUGUACCAACUUUCUUCCACACAAAUAGAACAGGUGCACCCCACGGGGAAACACUGGGUCUGAUAAAGCCUUUUUCUAAGAGUUCUUUGAGUUUCUCCUUCAACUCUUUAAGUUCUGCAGGAGCUAUACGGUAUGGAGGGAUGGAGAUAGGCUGAGUUUCAGGAAAAAGAUCAAUCCUGAAUUCUAUUUCUCUAUCAGGUGGGACCCCUGGAAGGUCUUCAGGGAAAAUAUCAGGAAACUCUUUAACAAUGCUAAUUGACUGAAUAGUCGGAGUCUCAGACUUGAGUUCUUUAACUCGAACUAGAUGAUAGAUGAAACCCUUGAAAAUCAACUUCCUAGCUUUGAGGUAGGAUAUGAAAUGGCUCUUUGGAGUUAUAGAACUCUCGAACCACUCAAACACGGGUUCGUUAUGAAACUAAAACUUGACCACUUGGGUAUGACAAUCUAUAGACGCAUAGCACGAGUGAAGCCAAUCUAUACCCAGAAUGAUGUCAAAAUUAACAAUAUCUAGCUCAAUCACAUCAGCACAUAUGACCCGAUGAAGGACAACACCAGGACACUUCUUAUACACUCGCUUAGAAAUAACAAACUCUCCUACCAGGGUAGAAACAAGAAUAGGCUCAGGAAUCCAUUCAAGUUCCAUCUCAAAACUUAUAGCAACCAGAGGUGUUACAUAAGAGAAACUUGAACUGGGGUCCAUUAAUACAUACACAUCAAAAUGAAAGACAUGGAGCAUACCAGUGACAAUAUCUGUAGAAUCCUCCUGCUCCUGGCGAGGUGGUAUAGAACAGAAGAAAUUCUGGAAUGAACCGCCAACAGUACUAGAAGAGACGCCCUGCGGAGGAACUGGGCAGACUACGAGAACGAGGGCACUGGUAGCUUGACUCUGGGGAUGAGCAUCUUGACUCCCCUAUCUGGCAUACGGAUAAUCUCUAAGUCGGUGGCCCAACUUGACAAAACCAAAGCAACCUCUCUGAUCAACAAAACACUUGCCAAAAUAAUCUCUACCAUACUUGGCAUAUAAAGGAAGACAAGGUCUGUUACUUACACUUUCCUGAGAAUUGGACGGGAUAGGCCUGUUCCCCUGCUCCUGCCUACUUCUAGGUACGGAAGCACUAACUAAGGAAGGCGCGGGCAUAAAUUGACAUCUCUGGAAUUAAGGGAAGUCCCCUCCAUAGAAUCUGGAAUGACCAAAUCCCUGCUGCUCUGAUCUAGCUAUUUUAUUCCCUCUUACUCUCUCUCUCUCUCUUUUUCACCUUAUCAGCUUUAAUCUGUUGGGCAUGCAUCAUUAAUCAAUAAAGGUCCAUCUCCUUAUUAAGCAUAGCAGAUCUACCCUCUUUCACAAUAUAACUCGACACACCGGUCACGAACUUACUCAUAAUGGUCCUGGAGUCAGCCAUUAUACUAGGUGCAUAUUUGGACAACUGAUUAAAUCUAAGGGUCAUGGAGCCUUGUCACAAAUUCAUAAAUUCCUCUAUAAUUGUUUCCCUCAUCUCAAGAGGAAAGAAUCUAUCCAAGAACGCAUCCUGGAAUAACUACCAAGUCAUGGGAGCGGGAUCCUCCACUCUACUUUCCCUCCACACUUCCACCCAAUCAUAUGCAACAUCUUUCGCUCGAUAGGCAGCCAAUUCAACACUCUCCUCCUCAGUCACGUGCAUAAUCUGGGUGAUCUUUCUCACUUCAUCCAAGUACAUUUGUGGGUCUUCACCUACCUUCGACCCAUAGAACUCAGGUGGAUUUAUCUUUAUAAAGUCACAAACCCGAGCUGCAGCAAAAUUAUUCUCUUGCAGAAGUGGAACAGUAGCCUGGUUGUUAGCUUGAGUAUUGCGGUAACUGCCUGGGCUACCACCUGAAAAUCUGCCCAGAAUUAUGUAUGUGACACAUGCUCGUUCAGGGGAUCAAUGGGUUAAGGUUGCUUAUUGUUUCUAUGAGCUCAACGAGGAGACAUUUUCUGUCAUAAGAGAGGCCGAAUUAAUAGCAGAGAGAAGUAGUCGUAGGCACGAUAGACUUUUGAAUGAAAAAUAUGACUUUCCCUAAAACUUCUUGUAGCCUCUAGCUCAUAGAUAUGGCGCGCUACACACCGAUGAUCAAGAAUCUACAUAACAUGGCUUGCCUGUCAUCACUUCUAGAACUCACUUUGACAAUUGUCAUUCUAAUAUAAGAGAGAAUGACAUAUCAUAAACAUACUGGAAUAAGAUACGAAACUAGCCUGUACAAUCCAAAAUACUGAAAUUCUGUACAUACCAACCCUUUAGCCUGACAAAGCCUAUAUACAUCAAAAUCAAGGAGACAAUGUGACAAACCCCCAAAUGACUCAAAAAGUAAUGAAAGCUAUAACAAUAAAAUGGUAUCACAAAAUUAUAAACACGGUCCUCGAACCAUGGGGACUCACCACUGAGAAGAUGAAAAGAGGCACCCGAAUAUAUAUCACUAACGCGGCUGAGUACCUGAACCUACAUUACGAGAAAAUGUAGCCCAUAGGAAAAUAUGUGGGUCAGCACUUUAAAAUGUAUUGAGUAUGUCAGGGUGCAUGCAACAAUGUAAAUAUCGUCAUCAAUUUCAUGAAAGUAUGCAUAUGUACAAUGAUGGCUCAUUUGGCUUGCGGUANNNNNNNNNNNNNNNNNNNNNNNNNNNNNNNNNNNNNNNNNNNNNNNNNNNNNNNNNNNNNNNNNNNNNNNNNNNNNNNNNNNNNNNNNNNNNNNNNNNNNNNNNNNNNNNNNNNNNNNNNNNNNNNNNNNNNNNNNNNNNNNNNNNNNNNNNNNNNNNNNNNNNNNNNNNNNNNNNNNNNNNNNNNNNNNNNNNNNNNNNNNNNNNNNNNNNNNNNNNNNNNNNNNNNNNNNNNNNNNNNNNNNNNNNNNNNNNNNNNNNNNNNNNNNNNNNNNNNNNNNNNNNNNNNNNNNNNNNNNNNNNNNNNNNNNNNNNNNNNNNNNNNNNNNNNNNNNNNNNNNNNNNNNNNNNNNNNNNNNNNNNNNNNNNNNNNNNNNNNNNNNNNNNNNNNNNNNNNNNNNNNNNNNNNNNNNNNNNNNNNNNNNNNNGUCGUACUCUUGCCAGGGAGUAUAACCUAAAUUUAGUGAUCACAAUCUCAUACACAGCCUCAGGCCCACAAUUAUCAAUAUCAAUCCUACGGUGGCACGUAGUUUUGGGGGAAAUACUACAUUUACCACUUGGUGCUAAAUAAUACUCCUAGACACAAGCUCAGAGCGUGUUAGGAAAUCCACCACAAACAUCACAAGGGUCUAUCAUAAAGACCAAAUGAAAUCUCUUUGUCAUUUAUCAAAUCAUAAUCAAUUUGUGGAUUCCUAACUCUACUCAAAUCAAAUCAAUCUUUCUCAAUAUUAAAAUGAAUCAAUUCAUUAUGUCAUGGAAACAUCAAUAACUUUGAGGAAAUAUCAAGACUCAUUGUAACAAGUCAAUUCUCAUGAAUCAAUAUACUCAAUAAUCCAAUUGUUCAUAAGGAAGGUUAAAGCUUGACACAUAGCUUGAAAGCACUAGAAAUACCAACUCAUGGACGAAACUUGAAAUUCAUAAUAUUAAAUAUCAAGUCAUAACUUGGAAAUUGUAAAAUAAUCAUGUAUAACAAAUCUUGAACGAUUUAUAUUCUCAUAAUCUCAUGAUGAAUUAAUCUGGGUAUAAACCCACUUGCAAAAUCAUAUAAAUCCAUAAUAAAAUCAAAGCUUUGAGCAAAAGAACGAAAUAAUUGCUCUUGUUCAGAACCCCGCAUACCUUAAUCUUUGAAAUUGGUUGAAAUAUAGAGCUUGAGACUUUACUCACACUUGUAAUUAAAAAAUUUCUUGAAGCCCACUCUAUGAGGAACUUGAUUCUUGAAGGAAUCUUGAAGAUUUAUGGAUGAUGUUUGGAGGAUUAAUUUCCUUAAAUAAAACCCUAGAUAUAUUUCUUAAGAGAAUUGGAAGAGAGAAAUGAAGAAAUCAGGUUUUGGAUGAGGAUUCUCACAUAUAUAGAGGCCUCCAAAAAGGGAAAAGGACUAAAAUACCCUUGCAAAAAUCGUCCAUCAAUUGCUGAAAAAAAUAGCUGAUGACAUCCAUGAUAAGCUGUUAGGCCUAUCAUAGGCCAUCACGAAUUGUCGUCACAAAAAGGGUGGACUUUGUGAGGUGACGACAUUUUGUGACGGGCCGUCAGGCUUGUGACAAGUCGUCACAAAAGGUCAUCACGGAUUUUUCAGUAUGACACGCUGGAGUAAAAUAAGCAUAACUCUUUGCUCCGAUAUCGGAUUUUAAUGAAAUGGGUAUAGUUGGAAAGAUAAUUCAAUUAUAUAUAUUUUGGUAGGUCAUGAGAUCAAUAAUUCCUAGUACAAUGGGAGAUAUUCUCAUUUAAAGUUGACUAUGUGAAAAUCCUUCUCAAGAAUUCAAUCGGUAAAGAAUGUUUUGAUUCGCCCAAGCGUUAGGGCAUCUUUAAAGCCUUAAUAAACAUCACCCUUGGCCAGGAAACAACCAAAAAACUAUAAUUUAUUUCUCAUGGGAUUGUGUCAUGGUGGCACUAUUGGUUAGAAUCUCGGGGUAUUACAAUCCCUCCCCCUUGGAAACAUUCGUCCUCGAAUGUUGCUAGAUCGGCCAAGAACAAGUGAAAUAUGAGGAUUUAUAGCUGGAACAACUCACUCAAAAGACUUACUUCACUCUAUACCUUCGAAUAGUACAGAAAAUACACGAAUCCUUGAUGAAAGUAGACACACUGCUGAAUCUUUAAUAAGAAGGAGGCGGAAUUAAGAAAGAAUGAUACCUUCUGCUCGCUCCGAACUCACAGAAAAGAGUCGAGGGUACUUGGCUCGUAUAUCAGCUUUGUCUUCCCAAGUAGCACUCUCAACAUAUUGAUUUUUCCAAAGCAUUUUUACCGAAGGAACUUCUUUAUUCCUUAGCCUACGGAUCUACAAAUCCAAAAUCUCAACCAGAAUCUCCUCGAAUGAAAGGCUAUCCUGAAGUAAAAUAAGUAUAAUUCCUUGAACCGAUAUUGGAUUUUGACGAAAUGGGUAUCGUUGGAAAUUUAAUUCAAUUAUCUAUCUUUUGGUAGGUCAUGAUCUCAAUAAUUCAUGGUACAACAGGAGAUAUGCUCAUUUGAAGUUGACUAUGCCAAAAUCCGUCUCAAGAAUUCAAUCGGUAAAGAAUGUUUUGAUUCGCCCAAGCGUUAGGAAAUUUUUAAAGCCUUAAUACACAUAAACCUUGACCAUAAAACACCAAAAAACUAUAAUUUAUUUCUCAUGGGCUUGAGUCAUGGUGGCACUGUUGGUUAGAAGCUCGGGGUAUUACAUUAUUACUUUUAAUUAUCUUUGCUACUUACCUUUCUGCAAAUAUAAUGCAAAUUUAUCUUAUAAUGUUAUAAUUGAAUUAAAAAAAUAUUUGAGAUCAACCACAUAUUUUUGAUAGUAAAUGAUGUAUUAUAUUUCUAUUAACAUAGUGAAUUACUUAUGUAGGACUUAAUUACCUGCAUAACUCAAUGCUAAAAUAAUAUAUAGAUAAUCCCUAAAUUAAGUAAAUCUGCAUAACUCUAAUUGAGGCCCUUUCAUUAUUUACUUUUGUCUUCUAGGUUUAAGUGGGUAAAUAGAUGAAAAGAAAAAGAAAAGACUCUCACAUCUAGUUUCCCCAGAAGCACCUCUUUGGAAGAAGCGUGUUGUUGAAGCAACUCAUUUUCAGAUUAAAGCAGUCUUUUGUUUUGUUCCUCCUUAGAAACAAAAGCAUGAGCCGGGGCAACCAUUUUCUUUUCUCACAGGAAAUGAAGAACAAGAAGAACACUACAAUUUAAAAGCAAGCUUUAAAUUUCAAAAACAAAAUAGAAAUCAUGAGAGCAAAAGGGGAAAAAAAUGCAAAAAGACCUCACCAGUAGUAGGCUACAAAGGAUGAGAGAGAGAGAGAGGAAGGAGGGUUAUGUUAAAAAUGAAAUGAAUACAGUGGAAGCAGAGCACAUCUAUCAAAUAUUCUUUAAAAACACACCAGCUACAUCACCGACGUUUCAAAAUCAAGGCAACUUUUUAUCCUGUUCAGAAAAAAAUUUCAAAGUGUGAGUUGGACUGAGGUUGUCUUAACUACGUAAAUUGGUUUUCCCUCUUAAAAUAUUCAUUUUUAUAUUCCUUUUAAUUGAACACAAUUUUAAGAGGGCUAACUAAUUUACGCAGUUAAGACAACCUCAAUCCAACUCUCACAUUUUGAAUUUUUUUUCUGAAUAGGACAAAAAGUUGCCUUGAUUUUGAAACAUCGGUGAUAUAGCUGGUGUUUUUAAAGAAAUAAUAUAGAUGUGCUCUGCCUCUACUGUAUUCGUUCCAUUUUUCAUAAAACCCUCCUUCCCCUCUCUCUCAUCCUUUGUAUCCUAGUACUGGUGAGGUCUUUUUGCACUUUGUUUUUCCCUUUUUGCUCUCAUGAUUUCUUAUUUUGUUUAUGAGAUUUAAAGCAUGGCUUUAAAAUUACAGUGUUCUUCUUGUUCUUCAUCUACUGUAAGAAAAGGAAAUGGCUGCCCCGGCUCAUGCUUUUGUUUCUAAGGAGGAACAAAAUAAAAGAUUGUUCGAAUCUGAAAAUGAGUUGCUUCAAUAGCACCCUUCUUCUAAAAAGUUGCUUCUAGGGAAACUAGAUGUGAGAGCCUUUUCUUUUCUCUUUCCAUUUGUUUAUCUACUUAAACCUGAGAAGCCAAAAGUAAAUAAAAAAGGGGCCUCAAUUAGAGUCAUGCAAGUUUUUGUACUGUAGGGAUUAUCGAUGUGGAAAUCUAUAUAUUAUUUAUGCAUGUAUUAACGUAUUGCUUGGUAGUUGAUUUAGCAUUGAGUUAUGCAGGUAAUUAAGUCCUCCAUAGUUAAUAUUCAAAUAUUAGUAGUUGGUUUAGCCUACGUUUACUCCUAUUAACAUAGAAUAGCCCUCGAAACCCCAAAAAAGGCCCAUAAAAACCCAUCUACCAAAUAGAUGGCUCUGUAGCCUUUCUCAACUAGUUUGAUGGCCUGCUUUUAGGGCCCAAAUAUGGAUGAACAUAGUUAUGCUAUUCAAGAAAAUUAUAGUAGUACUAUUGGGACUUUGCAUUAAAAGGGAAAAAUAAGUUGUCUAGUAAAGUGAGAAUCCUUCAAGUUUUUAAAAUUAGGUGGGAGGGACAAAAGUUUUUUGAAUAUUUAUUUUUAGUUUUUUGUUCCAACAACUUCUCCCAGUUGUCAAAAAACUUUGAUAGUUGUUUGAAAACUUCUAGCAGUUGUUCAACAACUAUCAAAGUUGUUCGAUAACUGCGGUAAGUUGUUCAACAACUAGGCGAAGUUAUUCGGCAACUGGGAGAAGUUCAACAACUAUGUGAAGUCGUUGAGACAACUAAUGUAGUUGUCGAACAACACCAGUUGUUCAAAUGACUUAAUCUUUUUAAAAGGGACAAGUUGUGGGACCCACUUUUUCCCUUUUCUUACUUCGAAACGUGGGAGGUCUAUUGAUUCAUUUUUCACACUUAAGUAUUUAAGUUGUAUAUAUCAUGAACUAGUUAGCUUAUAUUUGGGUUGUAAAUUGUAAUAUUAAGUGUAGAGAUAGUCCUAUAUACAUUUAGUACGUCAAAGAAAGCUACUCGAAAACAUUGUGCAAUUCAAUUUGUCGCAAGAAGCACUUAAUCAUCACGCAAAUACUUAUUGGUUCCGAAUAUUUAACCCUAAUCAAUGAUUUUAAUACUAAUGAAUUAAGAAUAUCAGAUCAUUCAAUCAUGAUAACAAAAAUAAUUUAUAAAAGAUAUUAUCUUGUAAUAGUGGGUAUAAGGAGAGGUAGAUGUAGGCUGAGGAGGUCUUGGUAAAGGUGAUUAAAUUAGGUACGUGUAGCUUUUCGAGGAUAUGAUCUAGAUAUAAAAAUGCGGAGAUCAAGGAUGUGGUUAGUGGGUGGAUGAGCGCUGUCUAAUUUCUCUAUUAAGUAGUCAUUUUUUUAUUACUUUCAUACUAUCUUAUUCUUCUAUAUUAGAAUAAUUUGUUUGCUUUUAGUUCAGUUAUCAUAUUAAUUGUUUGUCGGUUCUACCAUUUUCAGAUUUACUUUUUUAUUUGUCUUACAUGCCUAAUUUUGUUUUAUAUGUUUUACUUGAGUUGAGAGUUGAGAGUCAAUCGAGAACAACCUCUCUAUCUUCACAAGGCAGAAGUACAUGUCCAUACUACCUCUCCAAACUCCAUGUGUAAUAUUAUGAAUGUUAUUAUUGUAUAUAUCUUGAAUUGAUUGAUCAAAUGUAAAUACCCGAUGUUGCGGUAUACUUAUACCCAUGGGCAUAGGGAUGGUCUCAGAAAAAGGGUGAUUUGAUGCACAUCUUUUAUCAAAUUAUUAUAGUGUACAAAAGCUUAAUAUUAGCUAUAAUACAUCUAUAUUAAAUUUAGUACAUACUUAACACAACUAAAAAGAAAAUAUGCACACUCCUCGUCAAAUUUCUGACAACGACACUGCUACUUCCUCAACUAUGAACGUGUUAAGAUGACGCCAUAUAGCAUUUGUCAUCUGCAUGACGCCCAAACUCUUUUAUCACUGGACCUACCCAACCUGUCACCUCAUUUUCUGCUUUUAUAAUUGCAUAUCCUUCCAAAUUUCAUACACCAUCCAUUUCAUUUUAAUUAGAUUAAAAAUAACUAUUUUAAUUUAUUUGUGUAAUUUAUAAAAUUAUAAUAAAGAUUAUUACGUGAAGUAUUAAAUGAAGUGAAAGGUGUAUUCUACGAAUAUAUAAAGGCUAGUUUCAUUCAAUCCGUAUUCCGUACUAAGCUCGGAUCCAAACAACUCUAUAUAUAAAUAAUAAUAAUUAAAUUUUAAAAUAUAAUGUAUAUUAUAUUUUUUACUUUAUAAUUAAUAUAGUUUAAUGACCGAUAUGUUAAAUAUAUUUUAUUAAAAUUUUUAUAAUUAUUAAAGUUCUUAAUCACAUAAUUGGAUAAGUUUUUUAAAAAAUUAUUUGUAUGGAAGAAAGUAAUACAGGAGAAUUAGAAUAUAAAAUAACAUGAUACAACAACAACAAUAACAACAUACCCAGUGGAUUCCCACAUAGAGGGGUCUGGGGAGGGUAGAGUGUACGCAGAUCAUACCACUACCUAAGAUGAAGUAAAGAGUCUUUUUCCGACAGACCCUCGGCUUAGGACCGAUAGCAGUAUAAUAAACACAAAACAUAAAUGUAUAAAAACUAGUACAGUCUGCAAACUAAACUAACGUCACUAGCUAUAAGAUAAUAGUUAUACUACAGUCACAAGAUAAUACUAAAACUAUCUAUCCGAAAUCAUACACAUCACUCAACACCACAAACAAGAAACUUCGAGCACAAAUAAAGAAUGCUCCCCUAUUAUUACCGACACACUUUCAACCCCUAACCCUCUACUCUAAUCGGCAUUCUCCAUACCUUCCUCAUCACAUCCCUCCAAUAUUUGUUCAGUCUACCUCUACCCUACCUAAAAUCAUCCAUAGCCAGUGUCUCACACCUCCGCACUAGAGCAUCAGAGCCCCUCUUCAUCACAUGUUGUCACCAACGUAACCUUACUUCUCGUAUCUUGUCCUCCACCGAGGCCACUCCUACCUCUCCCAAAUAAUCUCAUUUCUUACCUUAUCUUUCCUAGUAUGGCCAUACAUCCAUCGUAAUAGUCUCAUCUCCGCUACCUUCAACUUAUGGAUGUGGGAGUUCUUAACUGGCCAAUACUCUCCAUACAAUAUAGUCGGCCUAACUACCAGUCUGUAGAACUUCCCUUUAAGCUUUGGGGGCAUCUUAUUAUCUUAUAAAACUCCCAAAGCGAGCCUUCAUUCAAACCAUCCAAUCCCAAUAUUAUGUGUGACAUCCACGUCAAUCUCACCAUUGCCUUAAAUCAUAGACCCCAGAUACUUGAAACUCUCCUUCUUCUGAAUGGCCUGAGAGUCUAGCUUCACAACCAUGUUAGCAUUCUAUGACACAUCACUAAACAUACACUUCAAGUACUCUGCCUUGGUCGUGCUUAACCGAAAUCCUUUAGACUCAAGGGUCUGUCUCAAAAUCUCCAACUUAUCAUUAACUCCUCCCCGAGUCUUGUUAAGAAGUACCACAUUAUCAGCAAAUAACAUACACCAAGGCACCUCAUCUUGAAUAUGUCUUGUCAAAACAUUCAUCACCAAGGCAAAUAAAAAAGGGCUAAGAGUCAAACCCUGAUACAACCCUACCAAAAUCAAAAAAUGCUUUGAAUCUUCACCUACCGUCCUCACCCGAGUCUUUGCGCCAUCAUACAUUUCCUAAAUCAACCAAGUGUAUGCAACAGGCACCUCUCUAGCCUCGAAACACCUCCAGAGAAUCUCCUUGGGAACUCUGUCAUAAGCCUUCUCAAGAUCAAUAAAUACCAUGUGAAAGUCCUUCUUCAUCUCCCAAAACUGUUCCACUAAUCUCCUCAUAAGGUGAACGGCCUCAGUAUUCGAGCGACCUAGCAUGAAAUCAAACUGAUUCUCAGCGGUAAUCACGCUCCUUCUCAGCCUUAACUCUACCACCCUUUCCCAAAUCUUCAUAGUAUGACUCAACAACUUAAUACCUCUAUAGUUGUUGCAACUUUGGAUGUCUCCCUUGUUCUUUUACAAUGGAAUAAUUGUACUCCACCUCCAUGCUUCAGGCAUCCUUCCCACCCUAAAAAUGAUGUUAAGAACCUUGUCAACCACUCCAAACUUGCCCUGCUAGUGCAUUCCAAAAAUCCACUGAAACCUCAUCUGGCCCCAUCGUCCUACAUCAACGCAUCGUGUGAAUAGCCCUCUUAACCUUCUUAACCUCGAUAGGCCUACAAUAACCAUAGUCGUGACACUCCUCAAAUUUCUCCAAGUCCCCAAACACGAAACCUUGGUCCCCCUUAUCAUUCAAAAGUUUAUGAAAAUAGGACUGCCACCUUUUUUUAAUGAGGGCAUCCUCAACCAACAUAGUACCAUCCUCAACCUUGAUGCACUUAUCCCUGCCUUUCUUCUUUAAAACCGCAUACAAGCUCUAAAAAGAUGUCAUUUUAGCCACUGUAACCGCUAACUUAGCCUCUCACCUAGCUAUCGCUUGUACUCUUCCUUAUUCAUCCGCCUCUCUUGAUCAUUCUUGCUCUCAACCAAUUUAGCAUAAGCCACCUUCUUAGACUCCACCUUUCUCAUAUAUAUUCAUUCCACCACUAUUCCCCUCGAUGUUUUCCAAAUUGGCCUCUCAAGAAACUAACACCUCUCUAGCGAUCACCAUAACUUAUAUCCAUCCAUAUCUCUCACCUUAGUGCCUACCAUUUAGUUUCCUGGACACACGUUAUACUAACCCUCCAUUUUCCAAGAAUCUUCAUCAGCUCUAUAGUCUUAGCUUGAAGCGUCUCUAUGUUCCAGGAUUCAACUUUCAACCUAUAAUCACCCUUAUCCAACUUAGCCGUACUAUCCCCCGCCCUCAACCCAAGACUAAAACCUAGACUCGACCCCAACCCCAACUUCAAUCAAUGACAUGACCCUAGUCCAUCAUAUAUCACCCCAACCACCACUCAAAAGGAUACAAUAGAAGAAAAUAAAGAAAAAAGCUGAAAAACAUGAUGAGCAAAAGAGUAUGACUAAAAACAGCUAAAUCAGCAAACAAAAACUGGUAAGCAGGAUUGAUACUCAAAAGCAACAACAAGUACUAUUCUACUCACUAGCAACAAACACCUACUAAGUUACAGAGAAACCGUAACCAAUAAUCCCAGAGGAAUACUUAAAAAAUCAAAUAAAAAAUCAGGAUAGAAAAGAGACAAGAAGCAUAUACCAAAUAAACUAGAGAAGACUGAAAUGAGUGCACCUAAUACAGGGAGAAGACACAGUGAAAGGAGUUUUCCUAAUCGUUUUGUCGAAUUCCAGCAAAUUGGUGCAGAAAUUGGUCGUCAGAAUUUGUUGCGAUCACCUUUACCCUACUGCUGGUACCGCAUCCCUGUACUUGGAGGCUAGAGAAUGUGCUAGUCGCGAAAAAAAUGAGCAAGACACCGGAAUCUUGAUGUCACCGCCUGAAGUAUAGAUCUGAACUUGAAGUACCUGAAAAGGGUUAUAAAGAAAAUAAAAGAGAAGAAAAGAAAAGUGACGAUCAAAUUGCCAAAAAUUGACGUCACUCACUAAAAACUGAUGCGUUUGUUGGGCCACAGAGAUAGGCCACUAAAAAAGUCGCUAUCAUUUUAAUGGUCGGCGUAAGAAGUGAGAGAGAAAAAGACGACGAUUAUGCUAGAAUCUGAUGGGGUCGGCGAAACUGAUAGGGUCGUCGGGACGUGUUUAUGGUGGCCGACACAAGUAAUUUACCGGCGGCAGAUUAGUAGUUCUUUGCUAUCGCCAGAAUCUUCAAGACACGAAGAGAUAGGUUAAUUUCUUCGUUGCCAUCGAUUGAAAAAUUGCAAGAUGCUAAACCCUCAGCAUAUAUGACAACUACUAAUGUCAUCAAUUUAACUUGAAACGCCCGUUCAAUAAAAUAACAUGUCAAUAUUUUAAUAAUUACAGAUCCAUUCCGAUUAAAAAUAGAAAAAUAUUGAUUUUAAUGAAUUUAUGGGUACAAAAUUUCUCAGUUAUAAAUAGAAAUAAAUUUAUUUUAAUAUUUAUUAUUUUAUUUUCAAAGACUUGACUUUACCUUAAUAUUAUGAAGUAAUUUCACUACUAAAAUAUUCAAGAAACUCUUUUCUAGUCUAGAAAUACUCCCUCCGUUUCACAAUAAGUGAAUUAUUGAAGCAAUUUUAGUGUUUCAAAAUAAGUGAAUGAUUCACAAUUCAAGGUAGAUGUUUGAAUUUUUUCCAAAUUUACCCUCCAUUAAAUGUGCACUAGGACUGAUGUAUCAUGUUUCAUUGCUUUUUGAAGAGGGUAAAAAUGAAAAAAUAUGAUAAAUUUAUGUCUUUGCUUUUUUUUUUCUUAACAUGUGUGCCGAAAUUCAACAAUUAACUUAUUUUGGAACGGAGGGAGUACUAUAUUUUUUUUAAGAAGUGAACAUCAGUGACUAUAAGGGUGUAGUUGAAAAUUAUUACUAGCUUUAAUUUUAUGUGAAAAUUUAUUUCUAAAAAAGUUUUUUGAGCCAAAAUAAUUAUUAAUUUAAAAUGAAGGAAAUUUUAAUAAAAAGACAACCUGUGGCAAGAAAAAAUCAGUUACAAAUACACAAGAGGAAAUGGUCUUAACAAAAAGAAUAAGGACAAAAAUAAAAAUAUUUAGCAAUAGAACAUCAUCAAUCCUUGUGAGGACUACCGAAAAUUGAGAUCCUCCCUUAUAUAUAAUAGUAAAUUGUAUUCUUUUUUCAUAUGGUUAACACUGUUUGCAAUAAAGAUUACAAUGACAGAAACAAAUUGCAAUCACAAUGCAUAUAAAAUAUGAAAAAAUAAGAAUUUUAUUGAUAAAUGAUAUGGAUAUAAUUCUGUUACUCCCUUGAUUCUUCUUUCUUUAUUUUUCUCCGUAAUUCGAGGAUCAUUAGUAGCGUACUUCUUGAAUGUAGAAAGAUUUAAAUUUGAUAUGAAUUUUUAUCGUAUUUCUCGAAUGUAAAAAGAUUUGAAUUUGAUAUGAUAUUUUUUGUAAUUCAAGGGUCGUUAGUAGCAUAUUUCUUGAAUGUAAGAAGAUUUAGAUUUGAUAUGGAUUUUCUUUGUAAUUCAAAGGCCGUUAAUAACAUAUUUCUUGAACAUAGAAAUGUUUGAAUUUGUUCUCCAUAAAAGAAGUGUUUAUGGAUCUUCUUGAUAUAUUUGAUUAUAAAAAAGAGAGUGAUAUUCAAUGAGUUUAUGAAAUUAUUGGGAGAUGAUUAAUCUCUUUAUUAAGGGUUUAGAGUAGAGUAGCCACCAAGUUAGGUUUGGCGUAAAGUAACCCCUAAUAACUCUAACAAAAUUGAAUUCUUAUUAUAGAGUUCACAAAAUUAUGAUGUCUAUAAACGCUUUGUAUUGUCAGACGUUAUGACUACAAAAUCCUUUGCUAAAAUGUCAAAAUACAAUUAUUUUUAUUCUUUGAGAUGAUGAAUGAAGUACGUGUUAAUUUAGUAGAGUCACUUAGCUCAAGUCAUUCAUGCGGCGAACCAUGAAAUCAGAAAACUACAUCAAGCUAGAAGAAGAGAAAAGCAAUAACAAAAAUACCAUAUUUAGCACAUUUUCAUAGCUUGAACUCGUGACCCCCUGAUCACAUGGAGGGAACUAUCCACAAUAAUUCAAAAAAAUACUUCUCAUAGAUAAUCACAAAAUCUCAAGCAAGACUAAAUCUUUUAAGAAUUUUACUACACACAAAGACAAAAACAAAGGGCAGUCCGGUGCACUAAGCUCCCGUUAUGUGCUGAGUCCAGGAAAAAAUUGGACCACAAAGGUCUAUUAUACACAGUCUUUCCACUGUGGACCCCUCUUUCCGUAGCUCGGACCUAUGAUCUUCUGGUCACACGACAAUAACUUUACCAGUUACGACAAGACUCCUUAUCUUACACACAAAAAUAACAUUUUUAAAAAUGAAAUCUUUAGCAAUUUUUUAAAAUUCUUUCUACCCAAAUUUCCAAGAUAAGCUAAAAUAUAACACUGAUAACAUAUGGUUAAAUAAACAAUAAGAAAAAAAUGCAAACUACCCAAAAAAAUUCAGGCAAAUAAAACUUGUAAUACAUCAAGAUUAAUUUUGAACAAUAGCUUAAAAAAAAUCUCACUUUCUCACAACUGAAUAAUUAAAUUCCAACUUUGCCUUAACAUUAUGUCUCCAUUGAUGAUGGAUACUGUAGCAUUAAGAGCGUUACUAAAUAAUGAAAUAUGACAUUCUUUUUGGGACGGACAAAAAGAAAAUGACGACAUAUAUAAUAGGGCAGAGGAAGUAUGUUAAUACUAAAAGGGUAGCUUCAUGUGGCGGUGGAUGUAUGUUAAUACUAAAAAGGCAGCUCGGUGUACUAAAACUUCUUGCUAUAAGGGACUGCAGAGAAGGGCUGGACUGCAAGAAUUUUAUUGUGCACAACAUUAUCUUGCAUUUCUGACAGAGGCUGUUUCUAUGACUUGAACUCGUGACUUCCCAAUCACAUGACAAUAAUUUUAUCAGUUACUCUAAAACUCCCCUUCAUAUUUUUUUUUUGAUUUGAUAAAAAUAUUAAAGAUACGUAAAAUAUAAAAGAUACACAUAUAAUUCUUUCUGCAAACCCACUUAUAUGGAGUAAUAAAAACUUAUAAGGUAUCAAAAAUGAUAUAUGCAUGGGAUUUCCCUUUUGGUUAAAGUUUUAACAGGUUAAUUUCGUGUAUAAUUGUAGACUUUUACUCAUUAAUGACAAAAUUAUUGAACUUUACCUCUUUAAUAAAGUAGUAGAUUUAAUGGCAUUGAAAAUCAUUAAUGAGUUUUUAUUAUGUGUUUAUAUAUAUUGAGUACAAGAAGUGAUAGACAUAUCUAAAACUAAAUCAAUCAAUUAGAAAAACAAUUUCUAUUCCAAUGGAGAACUUCCUCCAUGUUCACCUUUUGAUUUCAAUUAUUUUCUCAAUUUUGCUUGUAAUUUUAUGCAAUGAACAUUCUUUUUCAUCCCUUAACACCAGUUACAUUGUGGAAUAUGUCUAUUGAUCCAACGAAGCUUUCCGAUCCUCCGAUGCCAUCCUAUACACUCACCAUUUACAAUCUCUAUUUAUUUGAAAAGUCAAAAUUCAAGGACUAUGACUCGUUUCUUAGAAAUAGGUUCGCCGGUUGUCAAGCUAGGGCAAAUCAUUUGGCAUCGGUUCUUGAAAAUGGUGACGCGAUUAGUACGAAUGGAACUCUGGUAAGGCCACACGAUGAGCAUGAGAGUAAAGUGGCCAACGAAAAGGUUCUGGUAACAACAAGUAUACAUUUCAUAUGUCAGUAUGUUGUAUCUUUUACUCUUUUUUUUUUGGUUUCCCAUCCGGCACCUGGUGCCCGCAUUGGAGCUUCGACUAAUCUGGAUACACGUUGCAAGGCCCAUUAAGGUGGCAGCGCUCCCAACAGAAUUUUCUCCUAAGGGUGGAGCAGCCUCAUCCACUACACCACAACCCAUAUUGGUGCAUCUUUUACUCACUGAACAAGUUAAAAGUUACUUGCUAAUAGACACUGGUAGUGAUUUAGUUUGGUGGAAAUGUGGACCAUGUAAUGCAAAUGGAUGUUACAAACAGAUAAAUAAUCCUUUAUAUGUUUCAACUAAUUCAAAAACAUAUCGAAAGCUCGAUUGCCUUGUAGAAAGUAGAAACUGUGAAAUCACGAAUAAGGAAUAUGAUUAUAGUCCGUAUAGUAAUACGUGUAUGUAUAAUUACAAAUAUGUCAAUGGAUCAAGAACAAGAGGCUGGAUUGCACACGACGUGAUUACUUUUGUUUUAGGCCGAAAGCAGGUAAGCAUUGUUUUUCGAUGUGGCAAAGAUGAAACUCAUGGAAAGCCUUUUAGUGGUCAAUUUUCUAGAGAUGCUAUCCCCGGACGUAAUGGGUGGUGGAAAUCAUUUAGCAUCGCAAUUUAAAGCUGACAUAAUGUCCAUGUUCCUACCGGGAGCUAUCUCCACAAAAGGAUCAACACUUGGCUUCCACACAAUGCCAUUUAAGAAAACAACAUCAGCAACGCUAUUACAUGAUUUCAGAUUCCUUUCCGUUUACUUCGUCAUCCUUUAUAAAGUUUUCAUUAAUGAUAGGGAAGUCCCGAUGUUCCCAUCAUUGUCUAGGAAUUCUAGAAAUUAUGCCACAAGCGGUAGCUGCAUCGUGGACACAGGAACAUUUAUUUCCCGUUUUCCUCAUGAUUUUUAUAUUGUAUAUUACACAUUCAGAUAACAAUUAUGUGGUAUUCCUAUGGUUAAUGUUCCACCUGGAUCAGUUUAUGACACUUGCUAUAAAGUGGAUACAACUGGUCUGGAUCCACAUUUCCCCAUUGUGACCAACCAAAUGGCCUCUCCGACACUAACAACCCAAACUCCCCUUUGCCUCAGCCUGCCUGGGAGCACUUGGUCCAUUUUCUACCCAAAACAUACAUGGUCAUUGGGGCCACCCCCAGAACUGUGAUCUAUAUAGCACACUGAUUUAGCCCAAGAAUGGCCUAUUUGCGUCGUUUCAUUUGUUUGACCACCCAAAUAGCCCAACCGACCCCAACGACCCGCACUAUCCCACUUUUAAGCCUGCCUUGGUGCCUCUGGUCGAUUUUUAGACUAAAAAAGCUCAAGCCCUAAGCCAACCCCUAAAACCGUGAGUUAUAGCACGUCUAUUUUGCCAACAAAAUUGCAUAUUUUUGACAUUUUGCCUGUUUGACCACCCAAAUGGCCCCACCGACCCAAACGACCCACUUUUCCAUUCAUCAGUCUACUUGGAAGCUUUAAUCUAGUUUUGACCCAAAACACGCCUAAACCCCAGGUCCACCCAGAACUGUGAGCUAUAGCACACCAAUUAUCACUGAAAAUGACCCAUUCGCGUUGAUAUUCUAGUUUGACCACCCAAACAGCCCCGUUGACCCCUACGACCAAUACUUUUCCGCUCUUCAGCCUACCUGAGAGCCCCCAAUUGACUUUUAACCUAAAAUAUGCCUAGGACCACCCCAAAAUCAUGAGCUAUAGCUCACUAAUUUGGCCCAAAAAUGGCCCGUUUAUACCGUUUUGCUCAUUUGACCAACUGAACGAUCCCGCUGAACUCAAUGACCCACAAUGCCCCGCUCCUCGGCCUGCUUGGGAGCCCUCAAUCGAUUGUUGACCUAAAAAACAUUUGGUCUCUGGGCCAACCCCCAGAAUUGUGUGCUAUAACACACCGACUUGGCUUGAAAAUGGCCCAUUCGUAUCAUUUUGCCUGUUUAAUAACCCAAAUGGCCCUGCCGACCCCAACGGCCCACACUUCCCGCUUUUUAGCCAACCUGGGACCCGCGAUCAAUUUUUAGUCAAAAACAUGUGUGGGCCUUGGGCACACCCUCUGAACCUUAAGGUAUAGCACCCCAAUUUUGCCAAAAAAUAGCCCAUUCAUACCAUUUCAUCCGCUUGAUCACACAAACGGCCCUUCGCCACCCAACAACCCUCACUCUUCCACUUAUUAGCCUGCCUAGGAUCCUCUGGUUUAUUUUCAGCCUAAAACACGCCUACGCCCUGGGGCCACUUUCGGAAUCGUCAGCUAUAACACACCGAUUUGGCCUAAAAAUAGUUGGUUCAUGCCAUUUCACCCGUUUGACUACGCAAACGGACCCACUAACCCCAACGACCUAUACUCCCCCGCUCUUCAGCCUGCUUGGGAGCCUCCGAUCAAUUUUUAGACUAAAACACACCUGAGCCCCGGUCCCACCUCUAGAACCAUGAGUUAUAGCGUAAUUAUUUGGCCUGAAAAUAGGAUGUUCACACCGUAUCACCCGUUUGACCACCCAAAUAACCUCAAGGAAUUUUUGGACAAAACAUGGUAGGAGCUCGGGUGGGACUCUCAGAAUCGUGAGCUAUAUCACAUCGAUUUAUCCCAAAAAUGGCCCGUUCAUGUUGUUUCACCUAUUUGACCACCUAAACAGCCCCACCGACCCCAACAGCCCAUACUUCCUCACUUAUAAGCUUUCCUGGGAGCCCCUGAUCGAUUUUUAGCCCAAAUACGCCCAUUCUCCAAGCACACCCCAGAACUGUGAGCUAUAGCACAUCAAUUAGGCUCAAAAAAUGGCCCGUUGGCAUAGUUUUGGUUGUUUGAUCACCAAAACAACCCCGUCGACCCGAACAACCCUGACUCCCUCGCUCCUCAACCCACCGAGGUGCCCCUGAUUGAUAUUUGGCCCAAAAAAUAUGACCAAACACUGGCACACUCCUAGAAUUGUGAGGUACAGCAUACCAAUUUAGCCCAAAAAUGGUCCGUUUAUCCCGAUUCACCCUUUUGACCCCCCCAAAUAGCCCCAUCAACCCCAACCACCCACACUCUCCCGCUCCUCAGCCUGCCCAAAAGCCCUCGAUCAAUUUUUGACCCAAACCACGCUCGGUCCCUUCACUCACCUUUGAAAUCGUGGGCUAUAUCACAUUGAUUUUGCUCCGAAUUAGUCCGUUCGCGCCUUUUUGCCUGUUUGACCAACCAAAUAGCCCUACCGAUCACUGUCUACCCCAAUGACCCAUACACCCCUGUUCCACAGCAUGCCUGGGAGCCUCCAGUUAAUUUUCAGCCUAAAACAUGCCUGGGCGCUGGUCUCACCUACAAAACCGUAAGCUAUAGAACACCAAUUUGACAAGAAAAUGGUUUGUUCGUGCUGUUUCACUCGUUUUACCACUUAAAUGGCCCCGCCAACCCAAACAACCCACACUUUCUCGCUCCUCAGCCUGCCUAGGACCCCUGGUAAAUUUUUUGCCCAAACCAUGCCCGAGCCCUAGGCUCACUCCCAAAAUUAUGAUCUAUAACACAUCGGUUUGGCCUAAAAAUGCUUUAUUCGUGCCAUUCAGCCCGUUUGAUCACUCAAACAGCCCCGUUGAACCCAAUGACCCAUAUUUUCUCACUCCUCUUGCUGUCUGGGAGCCCUCGACCAAUUUUUAACCUAAAAUAGGCUCGAUCCCCAAGCCCACCCUCAAAACCGUGAGCUAUAGCUCACCUACAAUUUUGUUCGUUUGACUAACGAAACGGUACCGCUGACCUUAACGACCCACAAUUCCCCGCUCUUCGGCCUGCUUAGGAGCCCUCAAUCGAUUUUUGACCCAAAACACAUUUAGGCUCUGAGCCAAUCCCCAAAAUUGUGAGCUAUAACACACCUAUUUGGCCCGAAAAUAACCCAUUCAUAUCAUUUUCCUUGUUUAAUAACCCAAACGGCCCCACCGGCCCCAAUAGCCCAUACUCUCCACUUUUUAGCCAACCUAGGAGCCACGAUCAAUUUUCAGUCAAAAAAUGCACGUGGGCCUUGGGCACAGCCUCUGAACCAUGAGGUAUAGCACCCUAAUUUUGCCAAAAAAUAUCUUAUUUGCACCGUUUCAUCCGUUUGAUCACACAAACGGCCCAUCUCCACCAAACGGCCAACACUAUUCCUCUUAUUAGCUUGCCUAGGAUCCUCUGGUGUAUUUUCAGCCUAAAACGCAGCUACACCCUUGGCCCACACCCAAAAUCGUAAACUAUAACACAUCGAUUUGUCCUAAAAAUGGUUUGUUCAUGCCAUUUCACCCGUUUGACCACCCAAACGGCCCCACUGGCCCCAACGACCUAUACUCCCCUGCUCCUUGGCGUUCGUGGGAGCCUCCGUUCAAUUUUUAGACUAAAACACACCUCAGCCCCGGGCCCACCCCCAGAACAAUGAGUUAUAGCACAAUGAUUUGGCCUGAAAAUAGCACGUUCAUGCCGUAUCGCCCUUUUGACCACCCAAAUGGCCUCAGGGAAUUUUUAGACAAAACAUGGUUGGGACUCAGGUGGGACCCUCAGAACCGUGACCUAUCACAUCGAUUUGGCCUAAGAAUGGCCCAUUCAUGUUGUUCGCCUGUUUGACCACCUAAACAGCCCCACUGACCCCAAUAACCCACACUCUCUCAUUUAUCAGCCUGCCUGGGAGCCCCCGAUAGAUUUUUGACCCAAACACGCCCAGUCCCCGAGCACACCCUAGAACCGUGAGCUAUAGCACACCGAUUAGACCCAAAAAAUGACCUGUUGGCGCAGUUUUACUUGUUUGAUCAUCCAAAUGGCCCCGUCGACCCAAACAACCCUUACUCCCUUGCUCUUAAACCCACCUGGGUGCCCCUGAUUGAUAUUUGGCCUAAAACAUAUGACCAAACCCUGGGCCACUUUCGAAACUGUGAGGUAUAGCAUAAUAACUUAGCCAAAAAAUGGCCCGUUUAUGUCAAUUCACCCUUUUGACCCCCCAAGCAUCCCCGUCGACCCCAACCACCCAUACUCUCUCGCUCCUCAGCCUGCUCGAGAGCCACCAAUCGAUUUUUGACCCAAACCACGCUUUGUCCCUUGACUCACCUUCGAGAUCGUGGGCUAUAUCACAAAAAUUUUGCUCAAAUAUGGUCCGUUUGCACCCUUUUGCCUGUUUGACAAACCAAAUAGCACUACCGACCACCGCCGACCCCAACGACCUACACACCCCUGUUCCAUAACAUUCUUGGGAGCCUCCGAUCAAUUUUCAGCAUAAUACAUGCUUGGGCGCUAGGCUCAUCUCCGAAACCAUGAGCUAUAGCACACCAACUUGGCCAGAAAAUGGUUCAUUCGUGCCGUUUCACUUAUUUUACCACUCAAAUAUCCCCACCAACUCCAACGACCCAUAAUUCCCCACUCCUCAGCCUACCUAGGACCCUUGGUUAAUUUUUUCCCAAAACACGCCCGAGCCCUAGGCCCACUCCCAAAACUAUGAGCUAUAACACACCAAUUUGGCCUAAAAAUGUUUCAUUCGUGCCAUUCAGCCCGUUUGACCACUCAAACAGCCUCGUCAAACCCAAUGGCCCAUAUUUUCCUGCUCCUCUUCUUGUCUGGGAACCCCCGACCAAUUUUUGACCAAAAAUAGGCUCAAGCCCCAAGCCCAUCCUCAAUACCAUGAGCUAUAACUCACUGAUUUAGCCAGAAAGUUACCCAUUCGUGCCGUUUCUCCUGUUUGACCACCCAAACAAUGCUAUCGACCCCAAUAGCCCUCUCAUCCUGUCUGGGAGACGUCGCUUGAUUUUUGAUCCAAAAUACGUAUGUGCCAUAGGCCCACCCGAAGAAUCGUGAGCUAUAACACAUUGAUUUGGCUUGAAAAUAGUCUAUUCACAUCAUUUAGCCCAUUUGACCACCCAAACGGCCCCGCCGACAACAACAACCCACUCACCCCUGCUUUUUAGCCUUUUUGGGAGCCCUCAAUUGAUUUUUAGUCCAAAAUAUUUUUGAGUCCCGACUCCACCCCCAAAAUCGUGAGCAAUAACACACCGAUUUGGCCCAAAAAUGGUCUAUUUUCAUUGUUUCAUCUCCUUUGACCACCCAAAUGGUUCCAUCGACCCAAAAGGACCAUACUCCCUCGCUUUUCAUCCUGGCUAGGAGCCCCUAGUCCUUUUUCAGGCCAAAACACAUUGGGACCCUGGUCCUACCUCCAAAACCAUGAUUUAUAGCACAUCGAUGCACUAGGAUUUCGUUAUAUGUUCGGUCCCGCUCAUGUUUCUUCGGUCCACCUCUACCCCACCUAAAACCAUCCAUAACCAGUAUUUCACAUAGCCGGCCGGACGACCACUCUGUAGAACUUAUCUUUAGUAUUCGAGUGCCUCUUCUAAUCACAUAGAACUCUCGAAGCGAGACUUCAUUUCAACCACCCUGCCCCAAUAUGAUGCGUUACAUCCUCGUUAAUCUCAGCAUUGCCCGGAAUGAACCUGACUCUGAUACCAUAUUGAAGUGAGUGACCAUCUCAUCUAAGAGUUUAACUAUUAGAGAGAGUACACUUUUACUAUUUAAUUAUAUUCUCAACAGUUACUUAAUAUGCUAUUUUUGCAUUGAUCAAAUGAACUUUACGUGGCAUUCUAAACUAAAGGAAGACACAAAAUUUUUCUUUCAAACAGUUCAAGAAAGAAUCUUUUGUCCUUUUGAAAAAGAGAAAUAAAGUCACAUUUGUUGGCUUGUUUUGUCCCUACAGUUGAACUAAGAGAACUUUGAGUUGAGGUUUUUUCUAUUAUUAAGGAUGUCCAAUUUUGGAAAAGUACUACUCCUUUCGUUUAAAAAGGAAUGGUAGACCAAACAACAUAUUAAUUUUAUAUAUUAUAUUAACUCCUAACUAGCUACCAAACCUGGAAUUACUUAUGUAGGAUUCCUACAUAACUCGUUGCUAAGCUAGCUACCAAAUGACCUCUUAAUACCUUCUUUCUUUGUUCAUUGAGGAGACAAAGACCAAUGUAAGCAUAAUUUAAUUUAUGUGUAUAAUAUGUUCAGAACCAAGGUGCAGAAUAAAUACUUUACAUAAAUACAAAACUUCCUAAAUGAGUUGAACCAACUGAUAUAAACGGUUUGAUUCACUCAGCUCCUGAUUCAUCAAUUGAUGACCACAGUAUUUUUUCAUGAGAUCUGGCAGGUAGUUUUUUUUUAUAACCUGAUUUUUUAUAACAAAAAAAAAAGUACCACUAAUGACUCUGCAACAACAAAAUCUUUUGAAGAAUCCAAUGAAAGUUGAGAGACUCUCUUCUCAGCUAUAGCUUUUGGUGAAUCUCUUGUUGAAAUUGAUUAAAAUUAUUUACUAUCAUUUCGACCGGUUUUGUCAUUUUUCUCAUUUUUAGUUCUUUUUAUAAAAUUCAUUAUUGGAUCUUUCNNNNNNNNNNNNNNNNNNNNNNNNNNNNNNNNNNNNNNNNNNNNNNNNNNNNNNNNNNNNNNNNNNNNNNNNNNNNNNNNNNNNNNNNNNNNNNNNNNNNNNNNNNNNNNNNNNNNNNNNNNNNNNNNNNNNNNNNNNNNNNNNNNNNNNNNNNNNNNNNNNNNNNNNNNNNNNNNNNNNNNNNNNNNNNNNNNNNNNNNNNNNNNNNNNNNNNNNNNNNNNNNNNNNNNNNNNNNNNNNNNNNNNNNNNNNNNNNNNNNNNNNNNNNNNNNNNNNNNNNNNNNNNNNNNNNNNNNNNNNNNNNNNNNNNNNNNNNNNNNNNNNNNNNNGGGUUUAAAAUCCUUAAGUUUUUUCAAGGUGUUUGUGCUUUUAUCAUGUAUUGUUACUUGAAAAAUUAUGUUAUUUUGGCGUUGAACUAAUGAACUCUACGUGGACUAAUAAACUGAAGAAUGACACAAAAGUUUUGUUUCAAAUAGUUCAAGAAAGAAUGUUUUGUCUUUUUGAAACAAGGAAAUAGAGCCACAUUUCUUCCACUGAUUUGUCCACUCAUAGUGCUCUUGGUUUUCCCGCCUUCCACAAAAAACCUUGCAAUAGAGAUUUCCAAUUCAUCCUAGACAAUCUCAACACUAAGUUGGCUGGAUGGAAAACUAAAUUCCUCAAUAUAGCUGGCAGAAUCACCCUUACCAAGUCCUCCCUUGCUAGUAUUUCUGCUCAUGUCAUGUAAUUCAUUUUGAUCCCCACAAAAAUCCACUAAUUGAUUGACAGAACCCAAAAGUACUUUUUCUGGGGCACCACCCCUGAUAAUAAGAAAAUGUAUCUAAUCAAUUGGGAAACCUUGACUAAUGCUAAAGCUAAUUGGGGCCUGGGCUUCCAGAAAGCUUCCAUUAGGAACACCACUAUGUUAUCCAGUCUAGCUUGGAGACUUUAAAAGCAUCCCAACAGUAUCUUGGCAAAAAUUCUGUAAAAUAAAGUAGCCCCCAUGGCAUAUUCAUCAAAGCCAACAACUUUAGAACUUGGAAAAGUUUCUUUGUGGGUUGGGAAAUUUGUAAAACUGCCUCCUCUUUGAAUAUCCAUAAUGAUGACAAGAUCAACUUCUGGAAGGACAGAUGGAUGCCUCACUGUGAACUCCUUCUUUCUGUCAUCCAAGAUCUUCUUCCUUAUUAUUCCCAAGACAUUAAACACUCUGAGGUCUAGAGAAAUGGCUUCUGUAACCUCAAGGAUCUUCCGAUUGAAAUCCCUAAGGAUGUCAUCCAAACUUUAACCAACUUUAUUUUCCCAAAUCCCAGAGCCCAUACUGAUGAGCUCAUUUGGAAUCUCACUGGUAAUUGUCUGUUCUCCAGCAGAAGUGCUUAUAAUCAUAUUGCCAAAACCUCUGAGAUCAAUUACUCCUCUAAUUUCAACUGGAUAUAGAAGGCUAAAUCCCUUAAAAAUUUAAAACAUUUAUUUGUUUAAGCCAGCAUAAUAGUUUCCCCAAUAACCUUAACCUCUCCAAGAGAGGAGUGAGACAAAAUACUAGUUAUGCUAUCUGCAAUCAUCACCAGGAAGAAAAAUCCCACAUUUACUUUAAGUGUCCUAUCCUCAACGAUUUGGGAGUGCAAACUAUCCACAAGAUGACCCAGUCCAAAAACCUCCUAUUUCCAGUCUCCUACCCUCUUACUAGCACAAUAUCUGGAGAUCUCUUCAACACUCCCAAUUCAACAGACUAAUCCACUGGCAUGACAUCAUUCCUUUUAACCUCUAGACACUCUGGGACACCAGGAACUCUAAUACCUUCAAGAAAAAAAGGGACCAUCCCAAUUUUAACCAUGCUUACUCCCAAACUAUUUAGUAUAAACAUCUUACUCAAAAGAAUACCCCAAUCAAGCAAAACCAAAUCAUCAACAUUAAGUGGAAUCCUCCCACCUGCCAUACCUUCAAGCUCAAUACUGAUAAUUCUUGCCUUAGAAACCUCGGGAAGGGUGGAAUAGGAGGGGUAGUCAGAUCCAGUAAUGGAGGCUGAGUGUUAGGCUUUAACAUAAACUUUCACCGGACUACCAAAAACAUGGUAGAGCAAAAUAAUCUUCUCCCCACUAAAAUUAACUUUGAUUCCUUGGAAGUGAUAUCUAUGUUAAAAAACGGGAACCUCCACUAUGAUACUUUAAUUUUGGAAUGCAGGUCAAAAUUAAAAAGAAUAAGGAAUUCGAAAGUCAAGUACUGUUAUAGAGAACAAAAUGGAGUGGCGGAUGCUCUAGAAAAAUACAGAGCAAGGGCAAGCGGGUUUUAGGAGACUACCCUUUUUGAAGUUCCACCGAUAUGUGCAAAAGAUGCAGUUUUAGCAGACAUCUCAAAAACUUUUUGAGAGAACAAUUAGGAUGAUUUUAAUUGGCCAGGCCAGAACUAUUCCUUUUUGAACCCUGACUAAUCGUCAAAAAUUGAAACUUAAACUGUAUUCUCUUUUAUAUUAAUGCAUGUCCUUUCUACCAAAAAAUAAUAACAUUAUUUCGCAUAUUGAAUCACCAAAAAGAAGAGAUAUUUAUACCAAUUUAAAUUGAUGGACCUUGAACAUUCACAAAGAAAGAUAAGUUGAAAAUGUUAUAUCAUUCUUGCAUAUCGAAAGAAUGUUAUCAAAUCAAGAAUAAUUUUUUUAAAUGAAAAAUUAAAAAAUGCAGUAAAUAAAUUCACGAAUAGCACGAAUGAUAGAGAAGUAUAUGUAAGAAAGGCUAAGUAAUAGAAUUUCAUUUAUAUUCAGAUUUCAUUUAAAUACAAAUUCAAAUAUCACAUAUGUUUAUUAAAAUAAGAUUAAUUUAUUAUUCUUCCUUAUCCUUAUCCUUACAUUUUUCAAAUACAAUAUAUAUUUAAAAUUAAUAUAGAUUUGAGUUGAGAUAAGUAUUGAAAUCAACGAGACAAUACUAAUACUAAUACUAAUACUAAUACUAAUACUAAUACUAAUAGUAAUACUAAUAUUAAUACUAAUAAAAAUAAUAACAUUUUAACUAUUUUUAUUUUACCACUAUUAGAUUGUACUCCUAUUACUAUUACUAUUACUAUUAUUAUUUGUUCAUUGUUAUUUGAGAUAAAUAUUAAGAUAAAUCGUGUAGCAAAAAAAAAAAAUUGUGUGCCAUGAUUAUUAAUUUAGUACAUCUAAAUUAUAAGUUUAUCUUUGAAAGUAUGUUUUAUCUCCAAUUUAAAUUCAAAAAAAUUUGAUAGAAUAUCCAAUAUCUUAGAUGAGCGGUUAAAACCUUCAAUACAGGUCAGGCUCGUUGGGAUGGCCCGGCCCAGCCUGUAAUUUGAUAGGGUUGGGCUAUAAUUUUUAUAGCCCAUUUAAGAAUAGGGCUUUUUAGCCCUUCAUGAAUAAGUCUAUUGACCCGUCGGCUUGAGCCAUAUGGGUUUGCGUGACCCGUGGGUCAAAUAAAAAAUAAAAAAAUAAAAUAUAGUACUAAUAAUAAAAAAAUGAGUCCAAACUCAAAGUUUAUAUGAACCAUCAUAUAUAGAUUUUAAUAUUAAUUAUAUUUAAAUAAUAUAUAAAUAAUUUACAUAUAAAAUAUAAGUUUUUUAAGAAAUCAAAUAUGUUUGAUGAAGAUGACGUGGCGAUGUUGAAUACACCAUAAAUGCCAUGAGAGUUUUCUUUAAAGUGUUUAUUUUACUUUUAAUGGACUAAACAUUGACAUUUCUUUGUGUUUUAUUUUGAUCAAUUAAAACAAAAUUAGGUUAAUAUUGUUAUUUAGCGAGUUAUAUUAUUACUCAUUAAUUAUUUUAUUUAUUUUUCAAUAUCUNNNNNNNNNNNNNNNNNNNNNNNNAUCUUUUUGUAAAUUUGAGACUUGAUUAAUGAGUAGUAACUUCAAGCAAUAUUAUAUUGUAAAUAUUUAUGCAAUUAAUAUUUUAAAAUUUAAAUUAAGAUUAUAAAAAUAAUAUAUUUUAAAAAAUGGGCUGGCCCGUGGAGGCCCACAACCCAUAGUGUGACGGGUUGGGCUUGCUAUUUUCUAGUCUGUCAAGUUGAUGGGUUAGCCUGACCAAGCCCGUCAAACUCUAAAGCCUGUGUGAGCUAGCUCGGAUGAGCUGGUCUGAUCCAUAUUAACAACUUUAGGAGCAGUUAUAUAACAAUAAGAAUCUAAUUAGAACUAUUUAGUAUUAUAAUUAUCUACUUAUAAUAUGUAAUUUUAUAUUUUUUUAAUAUUAUUUUAAAUUUAAAGUCAACAAUUUAUUUGUAACACCCCAAGAUCCCAUCCCGAGACGUCACACGGUGCUUAAGGCCACACGCGGCCUCAAGCUAACCCUCUAAAACUGUCAUCACUUCUAGAACUCACUUUGACAAUAGUCGUGCUAAUAUAAGAGAGAAUGACAUAUCAUAAACAUACUGGAAUAAGAUAAGAAACUAGUCUGUACAAUCCAAAAUAUUGAAAUUCUGUACAUACCGAUCCUUUAGUCUGACAAAGCCUCUAUACAUCAAAAUCAAGGAGACAUUGGGACAAACCCCCAACUGAAUCAAGGAGAUAUUGGGACAAACCCCCAACUGACUCAAACAGUACUGAAAGCCAUAACAACAAAAUUGUAUCACAAAAUUAUAAACACGAUCCUCGAACCAUGAGGACUCACCCCUGAGCAGAUGAAAAGAGGCACCCAAAAAUCGCUAACGUGGCUGAGUACCUAAACCUAUAUUAUAAGAAAAUAUAGCCCUUAUAAAAAUAUAUGGGUCAGCACUUUGGAAUGUACUGAGUAUGUGGGGGGCAUGCAACAAUGUAAAUAUCGUCAUCAAUUUCAUGAAAUUAUGCAUAUGUACAAUGAUGGCUCACUUGGAUUGAGUUAGAUUGAAACAUAUUUUUUAUAAUCUCAUCGUAAAUAAAUCAUAUGAUAAAAACCUUAUAAAUCAUCAUAAANNNNNNNNNNNNNNNNNNNNNNNNNNNNNNNNNNNNNNNNNNNNNNNNNNNNNNNNNNNNNNNNNNNNNNNNNNNNNNNNNNNNNNNNNNNNNNNNNNNNNNNNNNNNNNNNNNNNNNNNNNNNNNNNNNNNNNNNNNNNNNNNNNNNNNNNNNNNNNNNNNNNNNNNNNNNNNNNNNNNNNNNNNNNNNNNNNNNNNNNNNNNNNNNNNNNNNNNNNNNNNNNNNNNNNNNNNNNNNNNNNNNNNNNNNNNNNNNNNNNNNNNNNNNNNNNNNNNNNNNNNNNNNNNNNNNNNNNNNNNNNNNNNNNNNNNNNNNNNNNNCAAAUCAAAUCUCUUUCUCAUUUAUCAAAUCAUAAUUAUUUUGAGGAUUCCUAACUCGACUCAAAUCAAAUCAAUCUUUCUCAAUAGCAAAAUGCAUCAAUUCAUUAAAUCAUGGCAACAUCAAUAACUUUGAGGAAAUAUCAAGACUCAUUGUAACAACUCAAUUCUCAUGAAUCAAUAUACUCAAUAAUCCAAUUUUUCAUAAGAAAUAUUAAAGCUUGACACAUAUCUUUAAAGCACUUGAAAUACCAACUCAUGGUAGAAACUUUAAAUUCACAAUAUUAAAUAUCAAGUCAUAAGUUGGAAAUUGUAAAAUAAUCAUGUAUAACAAAGCCUGAACGAUUUAUAUUCUCCUAAUCUCAUGAUGAAGUAAUUUGGAUAUAAACCCACUUGCAAAAUCAUAUAAAUUCAUAAUAAAAAUCAAAGCUUUGAGCACAAGAGCGAAAGAAUUUCUCUUGUUCAAAACCCCACGUACCUCAAUCUUUGAAAUUGGUUGAACUCUAGUGCUUGAUACUUUACUCACACUUGUAAUAAAAAAAAUUCUUGAAGCCCACUCUAUGAGAAACUUGAUUCUUGAAGGAAUCUUGAAGAUUUAUGGAUGAUUUUUGGAAGAUUAAUUCCCUAAAAUAAAACCCUAGAUAUAUUUCUAAAGAGAAUUGGAAGAGAGAAAUGAAGAAAUUAGGUUUUGGAUGAGGAUUCUCAUAUAUAUAUAUAGACGCCUCCAAAAAUGGGAAAUGACUAAAAUACCCUUGCAAAAAUCGUCCAUCAAUUGCUGAAAAAAAUAGUUAAUGACAUCUGUGAUAAGCUGUCAGGCCCAUGAUAGGCCAUCACGAAUUGUCGUCACAAAAAGGGUGGAUUUUGUGACUUUCUGCCUUAAGGUGAUGACAUUUUGUGAUGGGCCGUCAGGCUUGUGACAAGUCAUCACAAAAGGUCGUCACAGAUUUUCCAGGCUGUCACGUUGGAGUAAAAUAAGCAUAACUCUUUUGCUCCAAUAUCGGAUUUUAAUGAAAUGGGUACCGUUGGAAAGAUAAUUCAAUUAUAUAUCUUUUGGUAGGUGAUGAGAUAAAUGAUUCAUAGUACAACGGGAGAUAUGCUCAUUUAAAGUUAACUAUGCCAAAAUCCUUCUCAAGAAUUCAAUGGGUAAAGAAUGUUUUGAUUCGCCCAAGCGUUAGGACAUCUUUAAAGACUUAAUACACAUCUCCCUUGACCAGGAAACAACCAAAACACUAUAAUGUAUUUCUCAUGGGCUUAAGUCAUGGCGGCACUAUUGGUUAGAAUCUCGGGGUAUUACAAUACCUCCCCCUUGGAAAUAUUCAUCCUCAAAUAUUGCCAGAUAGGCCAAGAACAAGAUAAAAAUGAGGACGUAUAGUUGGAACGACUUACUCGAAAGACUUAAUUCACUCUAUACCUUCGAAUACUAUAGAAAAUGCACAUAUUCGUGAUGAAAGCAGACACACUGCUGAAUCUUUAAUAAGAAGGGGGUGGAAUUAAGAAAGAAUGAUACCUUCUACUCGCUCAGAACUCACAGAUAAGAGGUGAGGGUACUUGGAUCGCAUAUCAUCUUUGUCUUCCUAAGUAGCACUAUCAACAGAUUGAUUUCGCCGAAGCACUUUAACCAAAGCAACUUCUUUGUUCCUUAGCCUAAGGAUCUGAAAAUCCAAAAUCUUAACUGGAAUCUCCUUGAAUGAAAGACUAUCCUGAAUAUCUAAGCUUUCAGAAGAAUCAACCAUGACAGAAUCACCAAUACACUUCUUAAGCAUAGAAACAUAAAAUACCGGAUGAACGCUAGACAACUCUGUGGGUAAAUCCACCUCAUAAGCUACUUUGCCAACAUGGCUCCGGACCUUGUAUGGACCAACAUAACGGGGACUAAGCUUUCCCUUCUUCCCAAAUCUCUUUACCCUUUUCAUGGGUGAAACCUUCAAGGACACCAAAUCAUUAACAUUAAACUCAAGAUCUUUUCUUCUCACAUCCGCAUACGACUUCUGAUGACUUUGAGCGGUUUUCAAUCUUUCUCAAAUCAACUUAACUUUUUCCGUAGACUCGAACACAUCAUCCAGCCCAAUCAUAGCUACUUCUCCUACUUUAAAUCAACCUAUGGGCGAUCUACAUUUUCUCCCAUACAACUAUUAUUAUACGCAAAUUCGAUCAAUGGAAAGUGCUCAUCCCAACUACCUUUGAAAUCAAGUGCACAUGCCCUCAACAUGUCCUCUAAAGUCUGAAUAGUUCUCUCAGCCGGACCAUCGGUCUGCGGAUGGAAAGCAGAACUUAGACAAACUUGGGUAUCGAGACCCUUCUAAAAAGCCCUCCAAAAUUGAGAAGUAAAAUGAGUACCCCUAUCAGAGAUGAUAGCUAAAGGAACUCCAUGAAAUCUUACUAACUCACGGAUAUACAAUCUAGAAUAAUCCUCAGCUAUAUAAGACAAAUGCACUGGCAAGAAAUGAGCUGAUUUAGUCAAUCGGUCUACGACAAUCCAAAUCAAAUCAUGAUGAUGAUAAGAAGGAGGCAAACUAAUUACAAAAUCCAUAUUCACUUCUUUCCAAUUCCAAUUAGGAAUUACAAACUCAUUAAUUACACCACCGAGCCUCUGGUGCUCUACCUUAACUUGUUGACAAGUAGAAUACUUUGUCACAAAUCCUGCUAUGUCUUUCUUCAUACCGUUCCACCAAUAUAUUUCCCGCAAAUUGCGGUACAUCUUGGUAGCACCAGGAUAAUAGAAUAUCGCACACCAUGCAAUUUGUUGACACCUAAUUUUUUCCCUCCACAACUAAAUUUAAUCCUGAGUUUCUUCGAUUCUUAAUAAAAUCGGAAUAUUUAUUUCAUUCGAAUAAAAAAUUUUCAAAAAUAUAUUUGUACGUAAUUUUGUCAUCUUAAGUAGAAAUUAUAUAUUAUCGUAUUCAAAUAUACGAUAUUAUAUGAGUUUAUUACUUAGAUAUUUACUCUAUGAAAUAUCAGAUUUCAAUUAAGGAUCAUUUCGAAAAAUAAUAAUUAAAAUCAUGAUCUAAAUAUAAUUUAUUCUCGAAAAUAUUUUGUUUGGAUAAAUAUGCAUUUUAUUUUAUUAAUUCAAGAAGCUCAGGAUUAAACAAGGUGUUAAUUCGUAUCAAAUUUUUAUUUAAUUUAGUCAAUUUAUUAAAUUAGAACUUAAUUGAAAUUAAUUUGACCAUAAUUGCAAUGUAAUUGGUUAAUUUAAUUUGAAUUAGGCUAAAAUUUAAAAAUGAUUGUCUAAAUUUUCAUCCAUUGGCUGUUUCAUAAAUAGUCUAAAUCUCUACAUUACUAAAAUCCUAAUUCUACCCAACAAUAUUCAGAUCCCUCCUGCCCAGUUCCUUUUCAUAUUAACAGGCCCAAAAUCCCUGACCUGGCCGACCAUCAUCAAAUCCCCCUUUCUACCUUAAUCAGCAAGAACUAGUCCCCAAUGCAAAAAACAACCAAAAAUAGAGUACAACUACAGGAACUUGAACAACAAUGACAAGCUCGAUUCAGUGAAUCCACCAUUGAACCAACUCGAAACCAAUCCUAAACUAUUCUUUUUCCCUCUGUCACGCGUCUCACGCGGCAGUAGGAUAAGAAAAACCCUCGAACCUUCUAGAAAAUGGGCUAGGUGUCAUCUCCAACAGUCCAAUCCCGCAAAUUUUGGGAUAACUCGUACGAACUCAUACAAUAUUUGGCUGAUUUCCAUAGGUUUUGGGGAAGAAUUCAUUUUCCCUAAAUCUCAUUGGUCCACCAAUUUCAAUAUUGGUACAAUUGAUUGAUGAAACCCUAAGCGGUGAGAGGAUUUUCAAAUUUCAAAAUUCAAAAAAUCCUUCUUUUAAAUCCCUAAAAGUAAUUCAGGGGAUAUAAAAAGACCCCUGGGGUCACUAUUUCGGGGAUUAUUGGUUUCUUCUCUCCUGUUCUUUCCCUUAGGAGUUGGAAAUUUUAGAAGCCUCUGUUUGUUUUGUUUAGAGAAAUUUUGGGUUCAAAAAAAGGGGGAAAUCCUUAGGUUGGAAAAUUUUAGGUCACGGUUGAGGGUUACUUUCCCUUCUGAGGUGGAAAAAUUAAGGGAGAAAGCUAGGUUGGAAUAUGUUUUUGAGAAAAAUUUCUAAAUCGAAAAAACUGAGAUAGAGGGAAGAAAGAAAAAGAAAAGAUUUCUGAAGAAAGAUUAAAUCUUUGAAGUUUUCCGGUGGUCAUGAUCCCCGUAUCAGUUCGUCGUCUUGUUUUGCUGCUCCGAAAAAGGUAACCUCCUAUUUUCAUUUAGUUUUCAUUAUAUUUCUUCUUCCUCUCGUCAUUCUAUAGUCAUAACUGUCAUUCUGAAGAUUUUGGAAGCUGGGUUGUCUGCUGUAGAGGUCUUCAUGACCAUAGGUUUCAAUUUUAGUAAAAGGCAAUGUUUCUUUGCAGUUCUACGUUGGGAUGAAUUCCUAUUAUGAUUGUAUGACAUGUGGUUUUCAUCAUCUUUAGAUCUUGAUUUCAUGAUUGGUCAUCUACUCUCAUUAUUACUGCUUAAUUUAUGUCCUAAUGUAUCAUCUUGUGGACUGUCUGUGAUUUGAAGCAGUUAAAGAUCAUAUUUUGAUUCUUGCUUAACAAUUUUCAUCCUCUUGUUGCCUUGAUUCGUAGUUGUAGUUUUAUAAUCUUACGUGUUGAGUGUAGCUCGUUAGGAGGCUAUGAAAGCCCCAAGUUUCAUAUGAUAAACUGUGAGCUUUCAAAAAUUGUUGUUGUUUCUGCAUUUAGGACAGAUUGAUUUUUAGAGUUUUUGAUUUCGUUAUAAUUCAUCUGGGAGCAUUUGCCUUUGUUCAUACAAUGUUUUUGAUGAAAAUUUUCUUUGAAUUCGACUUUCGUGAAUGCCAUAUUGUUUAAAUGAUGAGCUUCUAGCCUAAGGAUUAUUGCUAAAAUCCUGUUCUAAGAAAAUGAAGGGUUACUAAGUAACUUUAUUCCUGUAAACGAUUGAGUAAAAGUGUUGUGUUUCUUUUCAGUUAAAAAGGAUGAUAGGGUCAAAGGGUUUUGCAUUCUCUUUAGGAGUUGCUAUUAUGGGCCUCCUUUGUGACCUUUAUUUAUAUAGGUUAAAUAAAAAGAAGUCUAUUCUAUUUAUAGUAUAUUUUCUCAAUUCACCAGCUUUGAUCUGAGUUUAACACAUACACUUGUAGUUAUUAGUUGAAAAUUGUUUCAAAAAAAAAAAUUAGCUUUUCUUGCGUCGUUACUAACUCGUAUGAGCUUGUAUAUCUCCUUUAUGAAACUUUUAGGAUCCUGUUCAUUUGUCUAUUAAAUACAUCUCUUCCCUCAUCAUCUUAUUGAUGUUGGGCAAAGAAAAUGUUUUUAGUCGCAUUGCUUCUCCCCUAUUUCCUAUUUACUUCAGUACCUAAGGUUAAGAGUUUUGGAUCCGUUUGAAUAUCGAAUAGUUUCCAUGUUUUAUUUAAAGCCAUCCUUUAUUUUUCAUAUUAUCAUUUGCUAAAAAAAUUUUGAUAAGAUAAAAGUUGUUUGCGUGUAGUAUGUGUGGUGACAUGCCUAAUAAUGUGCUUACUCUAUGGGAACAUGUUGUUAUUUCUUCUCUAAAAGAUAGGUCUAGUAAAUUUGGGAGAAAUUCUAUUUUAGUUGCUUCCUGAUUCUUCCCAACUCUUUGUUGUUAUCUUGAGUUUUAGUAAUAGCCAUCUAUACCUAAAAGGGCUAGAGAACAUUAAUCACCAAA